AACGCGGUGAUUACAAACUAAAACAAGGAAGACACAAUGGCAAAAGCAUGCACAGAUAACUUUGUCUGGAUGGACGACGAGAUGGAGUUGCUACAGCAACAGAUCUACACUUAACUUCAAAUCAACAGCAGAACUGAAUCGUGCUCUCAGGAAAACCAAGAUUCCAUCACCAGGAACAGAUCAGCAGAAGAGAAAAUGGCAGAAACAUAAAUACGCUGGAUGACGCCACUCUCUGGAUCACUGCAGACAGCUACGUCCGGCGUGGGGCUGAGCGAGCGACAGAGAUCAUGGGGAACAACCCUGGUGUUGAUAUCUACAAUGGGAAGGGCCUUCUCCCCCUCUUCAUCCAGUCUCCAAAAGCCUGAGCAGUUUGGAUGUCCUCCUCAUCCACUGUGGCGUGAAUGACCUGGGAGAUGUCUCAAGGGUCAACCUCAUCACAGCAAAAGAGGACCUGCACCAUCUCCACCAGCAGCAUCCAGACAUGAAGAUCAUCUUCUCUGGCACCACCCAGAGAUGCAGGUGAAAGGCUGCUGCCAGUCCGGGGAAGAUUGAAUAGUGUUAUAGCUACACAUGUUUAUUGUUUAAGUGGCACCUUUGUACAUCACCCUCACACAAGGUUUGACACUCCUGGGGCCUCAUUUAUAAAAGAGUGCUUAGGAUUCAUACUAAAAGUUGAUGUGCGCCCAAAGGCUGAAAAUGGCGUGCGCCAAAAAAUAAUCUGAUUUAUAAAACCGUGCGCACGCACACUGCAUGCAAUGUUCUCUUUAUAAAUCACAGACCUCCUGGAGUUGUGCGCACCCAGAUCCGCCUCAUAUUCCGCCCUCUACACGCCCUAGUUCAACCAUAAAUGGUCAUGCAAAUCACCUCAUGAAUGCGAUCUGCAUAUAAAUAAGCCGGCAUGCGAGUGUUCUCUUGUUGUUUGAGUCACGGCGACGGGUGAGAAACGAACCAAAAAACGGAAUUUCUCUGAGACUGAGCUAGAGACCCUUUAACGGGAGGUGGAGGACUGAAGAAAGAUUUUAUUUGGUGGCCACAGCAGCAGGAUCACUAAUAAAAGAAAGCAAAAAAAAGUGGCAACACAUCAACGCUGCUGAUGCUGUCAGCUGUGUCUGUCACGGACAGUGACAGAACAAAAAAAAAAAAGUGGUCUGAUCUAAAGGUAGACCAAAUAUUUCUACUCCUUUACCAACAUGUGGUUAAUGUGUUGCUUUUAAAUUUGAGGAUGUUUGACAUUGAUGUGCGACAUAAAGAAUCACAUUUAUUAAAGGUGGAGGCAAAAAGGAGUAUGUGCCAGUGUCAUCUUGCGAAAUUACGCACGAGGGUCACCGCAGUAUUUAUAUGUUUAUGGCAAUUAAUCUGAUCAUACACCCGGCCUGAAUUACAGCAUGAACCACUGGUAUCCCUGUCCCAAAAUACAAUGUGUAAUUUUAAAUACAAUUCAAAGAUGAAAGUGUAAUAGGCGAACACGUUUCUUCAUGCCAGUUUUGUCAUGAACAGCACAUGUCUAAGUAGGGCUGAUGAAAUGAGUGUAACAGUUGUACUUAAUGGCUGUAUUUCGAGACAUGAUAAAUGCACUGGAAAUAUUUAGCUAAAUAAAUAAAUAUAUUCCAUGCAGUCGCGCCAUCCUCUCCCCCUCCUGCGCUCACAGAGUGGACAAUGAGACGUUAGAGGCAGUGCGGAUUAAAUACGUAUUUAGAAAAAAUUUCAAUUCAGGAUUUGAGUUGGAUUUUACAACGUUUUUAUGAAACAAUUAUCACUCACUCCAAGCGCAAAAUAAGGCCACUGGAUUUAAUUUCAAUGAUAACGUGGAUCUAAGGUGGAUAUAGCAUGACAUUAAAUUUGUGUGAGACAUCAAUAAAAAUCCGACUCCACUUCUCCACCUCGCUGUCUGCGUCGCUACUUCCCAGUGUCUUCCAAAAUGUGCGCACGCAUGACUCAGAGUUUGCUUACAGGUGCGCACAUUCUCCCGCCAAGUUUAUUUUUUAUAAAUCACAACCUUUGCGUGGUAAGUGGCGUACGCCACUUUCAAGCCCCAUUUUGUGCGUAAGCAAGCUUUAUAAAUGAGGCCCCCGGUCUCCACUAGGCGAAAUUCUAUUUUUUUAAACAGUUUAUUUGAGUCCAUUUAGUCCAGGGGCCAUGGCAGAUUUUGGUAUCACUUAAAGGGACCAAACAAUUUCGGUAUUUUUACUUCCUCUAUGUCUCUAGUUUACAUUUUGGUAUGAUAGACCUGCCUAUCUAGUAGCUUAAUAAAAUUUUUUGGAUGAUCUUUGGGUCCUCCCCAAAAUUGAAAAUAGUCAAAAUGGAGGCUUCUCCAACAGGGAUGGUGUGUGCCUUAUCACAUGAAUCUCGGGAAAUAAUUAUCAGAAUGUCACCAAAUUCAGACAGUUGCUGCACACAAUGCAAAAGCUGCCUUUACAAUUAAAGUAAGGAUAGUGCAACAGUCAGUGAAAAAGCUACUUCCGCAGUCCCUGUAUAAUGGAGGUAAGGUGUAAAAUGUACAGGAGCCAUUAUUCAUUGUCAGUCCUUGUGUUUGAGACAGUUUACACUUCUAAAGUCUUUUCAAGUUAACAGAUGCUUGGUUUACUUUGGUCACUAUGAAAGAGACAAUAAGGCAAACUGACAGUAUUUGAAUGUAAAUUUGUUAACAUUAUAUUAUAACAAAUAUACAAAUAUAUAUAAACAAAAAUAACACUCAUCACAUAAGGACUAACAAAAUGAAAAUACUUUAAAACAAACUGUCGGACAUGAACACUGUUUCACUGUUGCUUAAGUCCAGGGGCCAAGGGGCUAAUUUUCACAAAUUGGUAUCACUUAAAGGGACCAAACAAUAUUGGUAUUUUUGACUUCCUCUAUGUCUCUAGUUUACAUUUUGGUAUGAUAGACCUGCCUAUCUAGUAGCUUAAUAAAAAAAUUUGGAUGAUCUUUGGGUCCUCCCCAAAAUUGAAAAUAGUCAAAAUUGAGGCUUCUCCAAAAGGGAUGGUGUGUGCCUUAUCACAUGAAUCUCGGGAAAUAAUUAUC
Long non-coding RNA from Epinephelus moara (kelp grouper), 3018 nucleotides. RefSeq lists it as uncharacterized. The transcript is spliced from 3 exons. The record is from RefSeq and is a predicted model, not a curated record. NCBI's taxonomy places the organism in Eukaryota, Metazoa, Chordata, Actinopteri, Perciformes, Serranidae.